This 304-nucleotide ribosomal RNA is filed under the name uncultured Bacillota bacterium. RNAcentral's name for it is "bacterial SSU rRNA". It matches the Rfam family "Bacterial small subunit ribosomal RNA", at positions 28 to 351 of the family's 1533-position model. The record is from RNAcentral. Lineage: Bacteria; Bacillati; Bacillota.
GAUGAACGCUGGCGGCGUGCCUAAUACAUGCAAGUCGAGCGAACCACUUCGGUGGUGAGCGGCGAACGGGUGAGUAACACGUAGGUGAUCUGCCCAUCAGACGGGGACAACGAUUGGAAACGAUCGCUAAUACCGGAUAGGACGAAAGUUUAAAGGUGCUCCUGGCACCGCUGAUGGAUGAGCCUGCGGCGCAUUAGCUAGUUGGUAGGGUAAAGGCCUACCAAGGCGACGAUGCGUAGCCGACCUGAGAGGGUGAACGGCCACACUGGGACUGAGACACGGCCCAGACUCCUACGGGAGGCAG